RNAcentral lists this ribosomal RNA (31 nucleotides) under Flavescence doree phytoplasma HD1. RNAcentral describes it as "partial 23S ribosomal RNA". Lineage: Bacteria; Bacillati; Mycoplasmatota; Mollicutes; Acholeplasmatales; Acholeplasmataceae. The record is from RNAcentral.
GUUUCUUUGAAAAGUAGAUAAACAUGAUUUG